GUCCAGCUGACGAGUCCCAAAUAGGACAAAAUGCACAUCCAAAAU
This 45-nucleotide non-coding RNA is filed under the name Schistosoma curassoni. Lineage: Eukaryota; Metazoa; Platyhelminthes; Trematoda; Strigeidida; Schistosomatidae. The record is from RNAcentral.